This 255-nucleotide ribosomal RNA is filed under the name Escherichia coli. RNAcentral describes it as "partial 23S ribosomal RNA". It matches the Rfam family "Bacterial large subunit ribosomal RNA", at positions 2102 to 2356 of the family's 2925-position model. The record is from RNAcentral. Lineage: Bacteria; Pseudomonadati; Pseudomonadota; Gammaproteobacteria; Enterobacterales; Enterobacteriaceae.
UACUAUAGCUUGACACUGAACAUUGAGCCUUGAUGUGUAGGAUAGGUGGGAGGCUUAGAAGUGUGGACGCCAGUCUGCAUGGAGCCGACCUUGAAAUACCACCCUUUAAUGUUUGAUGUUCUAACGUUGACCCGUGAUCCGGGUUGCGGACAGUGUCUGGUGGGUAGUUUGACUGGGGCGGUCUCCUCCUAAAGAGUAACGGAGGAGCACGAAGGUUGGCUAAUCCUGGUCGGACAUCAGGAGGUUAGUGCAAUG